GACAGAGUCUCGCUUUGUCACCAGGCUAGAGUGCAGUGGUGCAAUCUCGGCUCACUGCAACCUCCGUCUCCCAGAUUCAAGCGGUUCUCCUGCCUCAGCCUCCUCCCCAGUAGCUGGGACUACAGGCUCGCCUCACCAUGCCCAGAGAGCCUCCUUCAUCUAGAUGUGGUCCCUGAGUCUUCUAUCACCUGAGUGUUUGACCUGGAUGUCACUUUGAAGAUCAUAACACAGAAGUAAGCCUUGUGGAAGCAAGUGCCUUUCACAGCACCAUGGGUGUGCCCUGAGAAACAGAAUACAAGGUAAAACCUCAAUGUGCCAGGAUGAGUGAGGAUUUAGGGGUAAUUAUUCUUUCUGGUUCACUGGAAAAUGUCUUUCUGAAAAUUAAAUCUAUUACAAUAUGAAAGUUGCUUUGCUUACUAUUCUGGCUUGUACAAAGAAGACUAAAGCGGAGCACCUGCUCUCAAAGAUCAGAUAAUUCAGGUGAGGAGUUAAGGCAAAUGUGAAUGAAAAUUUAACUAACAAGAGAGUUAAUUAGGCAGCAUGGGAAGGCGAUGUCUUUUCUGAAAAAGAGAUAUUGAAGGUUAGCUUCCCAUUUUCUACAGCAGCUUAUUUCCCUGCACUGAUAAAUAAGAAAUGGUAAAUAUAAUUGGGUCAUUCUUUCAAUAUAAUAUCCUGUGGCAUAUUAGGUCAAUAAUACCAAUAAUAACAACAGCCACUUAUAGAGUGCUUAAUACUUCUCAGUUUAAUAAUAACUUUUGUAAAUUAACAAUUUAAUCCUCCCAACAGUCCAGUGAGCCAGGAGCUAUUACCCCCAUCUUUUGGAAAAAGAGAGGUUAAAUAACUUGCCCAAGUUUACACAGCCAUUAGGUAGCUGAGCCAAGCUGGCUCCAAA
RNAcentral lists this long non-coding RNA (892 nucleotides) under Homo sapiens (human). RNAcentral's name for it is "HSALNT0264043". The record is from RNAcentral. Lineage: Eukaryota; Metazoa; Chordata; Mammalia; Primates; Hominidae.